RNAcentral lists this ribosomal RNA (1059 nucleotides) under Triticum aestivum (bread wheat). RNAcentral describes it as "partial small subunit ribosomal RNA". The record is from RNAcentral. Lineage: Eukaryota; Viridiplantae; Streptophyta; Magnoliopsida; Poales; Poaceae.
AUGCUUGAUCUCAAUGAGUUGCCUCCUGAUCUCAAUGAGCUUCCUCAUGAUAUGGAUGAGCAGCAACCCAGCAUACCGCAAGGAAAUUGGACAGAAAAUGGGCGCUCUGUUUACUACAUAGAGACAAGUCGUGGGCCUAACCCUAUGGGCAAUGACAAUGUGGCAGGGCAGUCAUCAACCUGUGGUGCCCCUGUAGUGGUGUCUUUGCAGUCAGAGAGUCAUACUCUUGAUGACACAGGCACCGCGACAAAUGUUCCUGGUCCAACCAGGACUGAGUUCGGAGCUGGUGCUAUUGACGGUGUUGUGCAAGGAGAAGAAGGAGAAGAUGAGGCUGGUUCUCAGCCAAUGGAACCCUAUGUUGGCAUGAGGUUUGACACCCUUCAAAUUGCUAAGGAUCACUACAACAGCUACGCCCUACGGAUGGGUUUCUCUGUAAAAAUGAACACCUCUAGGCGGACACCCCACACAAAUGUAUUGGUAAAACAGCAGUUUUGCUGCAACAAGUUCAAGAAGCCCAAAGCUGAUGAUGGAGGAGCUGAGGCUCCUCCUGUCCCGGACCCUAUACCAGAUCCAAAACCUAUUGACAGUGAUGAGGAGAUGAAAGAUGAACCUCCAAUAUUUGCUGAAGAGGAGGCUGCUACUAGUAAGAAAAAGAAGAAGCGUAAACGCGAGACAAUAAAGCAGACUCAAUGCAAGGAAAAAAUGUUGGUGAAGCUGAUAGAUGGGCAAUGGCAGGUGACGCACUUUGUUCGUGACCACAAUCAUCCGCUGGUGAACAAACCUUCGUUGUCCAAAUACUUGAGAUCCCACCAAGGCAUCUCUCCUGAUGAAAAGGAGAUUUUGCACAUCUUGUAUAACUGCAACUUGACUACAGGACGUAUGAUGCAUGUAAUGGCAAAGUUCUAUGGAUCUGAGAUGAUGGUGCCUUUCGGACCAAAGGCAAUAACAAAUCUGUGUACAAGUUUCCGUAGAGAUGACACAAAGGAGGGUGACAUGAUUGUGACAAUUGUGCUCUUCAAGGAUAUACAAAAAACAGAUCCAGACUAUUGGGGAACGUAG